This is a long non-coding RNA of Daphnia pulex (common water flea), 734 nucleotides long. RefSeq lists it as uncharacterized. The transcript has 3 exons. The record is from RefSeq and is a predicted model, not a curated record. Lineage: Eukaryota; Metazoa; Arthropoda; Branchiopoda; Diplostraca; Daphniidae.
GCCUGAACAUGAAGCUGCAACUCGGCAACUCUGCAUAGGCAUGACAAUCUCCAUACAUGGCUUUUUUAGUUGCUAGUCGGUUCGGAUAAUAAAGGGUUGAUUUCCAGGCCAUGAUUCCGAAAAAUGACACAAGACAGAUAAACGUUGAUUUCCAGGAUUUAUAACAGUGGAGUGAGAAUUGAUUGAAAUAGAAAAGUGACAAGUGUGACACCAUCUACUAGACAAGAUAGGUGCAUGGAAUUUGUGUUCAAGCAAAAUGUGACUUUCUGGUGUGAACAAUCAACAAGUGGUACGCCUUGAUCAUUGGUGAUACGUAUGACCAUUAGUAGCCUAGUCUUCAGAGCUAGGAAGCAAUCCUUUCAAUUCAUUGUGUGGUAGCUACCAGGAAUGCGUCAAUGUAGUAGAGAAGACAGGAAUGCAGUAGAGGCCGCUAUCGAAGCCGGCGGAUUAUGAAGCUCACAUUUGCGAUGUUUUUGGAAUUUGGUCCGUCCGUGACACAACUGCAGUCACUCACCACGGGAUUAUGCCAAGAUCCGAGAGUUUCUGUCUACAUUUAUGAGAAGUUUCUGGAUGUUCUUUCAAGAAAAAGGACAAGGACUAUACGGUCAACAUGGUCCCUUGUUUACUAAAACCCGUUGGUUGCUACCCUUUGAUUUCCAUUUUUACUUACUUACAACUUACUUCUUGAUUUGAGGUAUUGCUUUUUGUCACUAGAAUCUUAUUGAAAAUUAUUG